AUGGGGUCGAGCGGGACGCGGACAAAGCCGGGAGGCGAAGGCAAGGCAACACAGCGGCGGCCUGUGCUCACCGCUGCGGCGGACGGCAGAGCAAGAAGGAGCCCUGCGACGGGGCUCAGCAAAGCACUGGCCUGGUUUGUCGUUGUCACCGAUCGCGACAUCUUGGGGCACCGGAGGGACGUCAUGGAGGACGGGAUCCGGUGGAGGUCGAGGCAGGGGUUCAGAGCAGAGGCGAGAUGGCGCGAUGGCGGCCUCUACUCGUCAGCGUCGGAGGACGAUAUUGUGGAGCAGCUGUGGCAGAGCAGCUUGGGGACGGUGCAGGGGAGGCAGCGGCGAGGCGCAGGCACGAGGGCUCUGCAUGGGGCGAGGAGGAGGUUGGGGUGCACGGGGCUGCCGACGCGAGGUGGGGUGGCGGGGAUCGAGGAGAGGGCGAGGGGAUCGGCCAUGCUGGCCUUUCUUGGCGCUAGCAACGUGCGUGCGUGGGUGGUGGCGGUAGCGGGAGGACGAGAGGGAGUGGGUGAGAAGAGGGGUCAGCCUAGGGUUAGAAGGGGUGCGGGCUGGGGUUUAGAUGGCAGUGGUUGGGCCUUAGGGAGGCCGCAGAUGGGCUGCUGA
This 612-nucleotide ribosomal RNA is filed under the name Triticum aestivum (bread wheat). RNAcentral's name for it is "partial small subunit ribosomal RNA". Lineage: Eukaryota; Viridiplantae; Streptophyta; Magnoliopsida; Poales; Poaceae. The record is from RNAcentral.